Molecule: long non-coding RNA, 1220 nt
Filed under: Monodelphis domestica (gray short-tailed opossum)
Lineage: Eukaryota; Metazoa; Chordata; Mammalia; Didelphimorphia; Didelphidae
Description: lncRNA (ENSMODG00000036768.1)
Source: RNAcentral
AUGGAGGAAAGAAAUGUGCCAAUGCCUUAUGUCUGGCAAACUGACAAACACUCAGUGAGGGAAUAUUUUAUGGAGAGAAGGAUUUCCCAGUCAUUCCCUCUUCCGUUCCUAAUCAUUGGGCAUCAUCGCCCACAAAAGCUUCCCAUAUGUGUCAGCAGGGGGUGCUGUGCCCCCAGAUACCGGACUGCAGCCAAGCCGCCACUGAAAAGGAUAAUGGAAGACUUUAUUUCAACUGGACCUUCUCUCCCGCACUCCCGCCCUUUCCCCUCAAUCUCCCCCCCUCCCUUCCCCAAAGCAGUGGCUGCGGGUAUUAGCGCAGCUGCUUCCCAGGCUCAGGUCGAGCCUUUCAGUAUUUCUCAUCAAAACUGUCGUCUAGGAAUCAGGAGGAAGAUGUUGGCUUAGGAGCAGUGAAAGAUGAAACUACUUGGACAGUCCUUCCAAACCAAUCUUUAAAAAGCACCUCAAGAUGACCAGAAUCAAAAAACCAACAGCAAGAUGGAGUGAGGCUACUUUCCGACUGAACACAACUUGAAAGGUAGGCAGAAACAGCUGAUUUUCACAGGAUAAGGAGGAACCGGAAGCAAAAUUACAUAUAGAGGAGUGCUGGCCAACGCUUGCCCACCUAUUACACCAGAUUCUGAGGCUGGGCAUAGGCAAACUCUGGGAUCCCAGGGCCCUGCCUAUACUAACAACAGAGCACCCCACACCCAAGACCCACCCCUUGAAUUCCCAGAUCCCAUUAACCACCUGUAGCAAAGCCUAGAAGUCCAUAGUGCUUGGCCCUUUCAAGUCUGUAGCUAUGGUAAAUCCCUUAGGCCCAGGACAGCUAGGACUGUUGAGUCCUGUAAGCCAUCAGUGGAGGAGAGAGAAUUAGCAGCUUUCAGAAUUCCCAAUCCAUUAGCAAAAACAGGCUGGGAAAAUGAGCAAAUAGCAAAAGAAACACCUAGCCCUAGAAUAUUUCUACAGUGACAAAGAGCAAGGCAUAACCAGUAGGGGAUGAUGAGAUCCAAGCAACCACAUGUAAAACUCCAGAGAAAAAUGGGAAUUGGUCUCAGGAACUGGAAAAACUAGAAAAGGAAUUCAAUCCAAAAAGAUAGUUUGAAGAAAAAUGGGGAAAAAUGAAAAUAAUGCAAAAAUGUUAUUUACAUGAUAGAAUGUAGAAUGGAUUUAAUCUAAGAAGAUGCAAUAAAUAGAGAUAAAUGUAAAAUCUAUUGGAGGGG